AUGGCCGGAAACGACACAAGAGAACCCCAAAAAAUGCCGCCCAAAUCUCGAUCGUUGACCCCAACCGUGACCUUUUCAAUAAUUUGGGGUCACUCCCUGGUGGAGUCCGGGGGCGACCUCAAGGCCCCGGGGGAGUCCCUGCGGCUCCUCUGCCGCGCCUCCGGCUUCACCUUCGGUGACUACGGAAUGUUCUGGGUGCGCCAGAGCCCCGGGAAGGGGCUGGAAUACGUCGCCGAUAUCGACGAUGAUGGUGACACCUUCUACGCGCCGUCGGUGCGGGGCCGGUUCACCAUCGCCAGGGACAACGGGCAGAGCUCGGUGACGCUGCAGAUGAACAACCUCAGGGAGGAGGAUUCCGCCACCUAUUUCUGCGCCAAACGUGACAGUGCUGCUGGUGGUGAUGUUUAUGGUAACGACCCCCUUGGUGUCCCCAAACCCCAGACCCUCCCCCCAAACCUCCACCCUUCGCACCCAGCUCUCGGUCGUUGGUCCCGACCUUGGGCUGGUUUUGCCCCAAAUCUCAACUCCUUGUCCCAAACCUCAACCAUUGACCUGAAUCGGAACCAUUGA
Non-coding RNA from Pseudopipra pipra, 570 nucleotides. NCBI's taxonomy places the organism in Eukaryota, Metazoa, Chordata, Aves, Passeriformes, Pipridae. The record is from the annotation of a RefSeq genome assembly.